Podarcis lilfordi (Lilford's wall lizard) is the source of this 5353-nucleotide non-coding RNA. Lineage: Eukaryota; Metazoa; Chordata; Lepidosauria; Squamata; Lacertidae. The record is from the annotation of a GenBank genome assembly.
CAGGUCUGAAGAUGCCUCCUUACAUUGUACAGCAUACAAGAUGCAGAAGAAAUCCGCUAGAUGCCAUUACAGAUUCAUUUUACUUUGUAAUAUCUUAAAAGUUUGUGUGCAUAAAAUACACAGCUGCAAAUAAGUUGGCCAAACGAGACAUUUCACGAUGCUUUAUGAAAGCUCUCAAUGCAGUAGUUUUAAAAUGCAAAGUGCUUCGUUAUGGAUUGAAAUGAAACAGCAAAUAUUAGGAGUAAAAUUAAGCGAGGUUGCUUUGAAGACCAGUCCAAAGGUUUGGUCUAUUCUAUGCGGAAGAGCAGAUCAGUGCUGAAAAUGAUAGAAGGGCUUUGCAUUUUGCAAUUCAGAAAGCCCAUCCAAAUUCCCAAUACCUUCUCAAAUAAAAGCUCCAUUUAUCUCAACUUGGGAGAAUUCAGCAAUUAAUUUUCUCUCCUUCACUGGAGGUUUUUAAGCAGAGGUUGGGUGGCCAUCUGUCAUGGAUGCUUUGGUUGAGAUUCUCGCCUUGUAGGGGGCUGGAUUAGAUGACUCUCAAGAUGUAAAAUCUGGACAUCAGGACUAGCAGUACGAUGAGAAAAAAUAGCAUGCAGAGAUCAGGGCCAGGCAAAACCCCAGGACCUGUGAAAGGAGCUGACAGAAAUUAUAAACAAUUAAAUGGGUGAAACAGAAGGCACAAACCAAGUGUUUUCUGGGAGACUGAACUCCAAACGCUAUCUGCUAACCAUCUUGCUGGGACCUCUUCCUGCUUCCUUUUACAGGAAAUGACCUGGCAAACAUUGCCCUAUGUCAGGAAGUGUGAAACCUGCAAAUCUCUAGAUGACAUGGGACUCCCAGUGGUCAGCCCUAAUGGGAGUUGUAGUCCAGCUACAUUUCCCACCGCUGCCAAUAUGUGAUGUUCCCCAAAAGCAAUCAGGACAGGAGACAGGAAUGAUUGCUGACAGUUUCUGGAGUGAGAACACCAACAGGAACAUUUGAAAGCUCUUUUGGAAUUGAGAGCAGCUGGACGUGGUGGUUGGCCACAGCACCAUCUUGAGUAUUGAACAGGCCAUAGAAACUGGUUUUGCCUUAAAAACGGCACCGUGUCAAAUGCGCCACCGAGGCUUAAAAGGUUGAGUGGAUUGUGUGAACAAGUGUUGAUUGUACUUUUCUCCUGAUGUAGCAAAUUCUCUUUGAUGGCUUAAGUUGAUUUAGCCAGGAUUAGCAACACUAAUGCUGUGGCACUUUGAUGGCUUAAGUAGCAUGCGACCCUCAUCCCGGGAAUCAGUGACACUAAGUAGCAGGCAAUUCGCGCCAGAACUUUGCAUUUUAUUGACAAAGUGUUUCGCCUCGUCAAUAAAAUGACAGUAAGUCACCCGCAGCUUGUGCAUAGAUAUUCUAUAAACUAUUUAACAUACUGGCAUCAAAAUUAAGAUGCCGAACUGAAUUUUAAAAAUGAAUUACGGCGUUCUCUGAAGGCUGACAUAUUAUGCAUUAAUCACCUAAGGUUUUCUCCUUUCCGUGCAAUUUACAAGUAUGGAAUUUUAUUUUUAUUUAUUUUAAUAAAUAGCAUUAAUUUGGCAUCAGUUCACACUUCGUUGAUAUAUGACUAAGGCUUUAUAUUUCCCCCCCAAAGUGCAACGGAAAGCAACAUUCUGUGAGCAAAGAUUUUAUGUCUCGAGUGCCAGGAUGGAGUGAUAAGAACGGAAAUUGCAACAGUAUAUUCUCACGCUAUAUUUGAUGAAGUAGCUGAAGAAGCAGUGAUUGGCAGAAACUGGGAGUUGACGCCCAAGUAAAGGGGGUUAGGACUGCAGACUAAGGAGGCAAUUCUAUACAUGCCUAUCUGGACAGCAAGACUCCAUGAACGCAAUAGGACUUCUGAGUAGACAUUGAUAGGGGUUGCAUGGUAGCCCAUGGAGAGGAAAUAAAGAGUGGCUAUAUAAUCAGACGCGGGUGGCGCUGUGGGUAAAACCUCAGGGCCUAGGACUUGGUGAUCGCAUGGUCGGCAAUUCGAAUCCCCGUGGCGGGGUGAGCUCCCAUCGUUUGGUCCCAGCUCCUGCCCACCUAGCAGUUCGAAAGCACCCCUAAGCGCAAGUAGAUAAAUAGGUACCGCUUUAUAGCGGGAAGGUAAACGGCGUUUCCAUGUGCUGCGCUGGUGCAGGCUCACCAGAGCAGCUUCGUCACGCUGGCCACGUGACCCGGAAGUGUCUCCGGACAGCACUGGCCCCCGGCCUCUUAAGCGAGAUGGGCGCGCAACCCCACAGUCGGACACGACUGGCCCGAAAAACGGGCAGGGGUACCUUUACCUUUACCUAUAUAAUCAGUACCUGCAGCAAUUCAGCCUGCUCAUCUUAAUGUCUUGUCUGGCCAACUCAGAAUGAAUUGGGUUAAUUCACUCUGCUCAUGGGAUGAUAUGACCCAGGAGCCAUAUCUGGAAUGACAGACAUUUUAGACUGCCAUCUUAAGCAUCUUUCCUUGGAGUGAGUGGAGUGGAGCCAGUGUGGUGUAGUGGUUAAGAGCAGUGGACUCAUAAUCUGGUGAACCAGGUUUGAUUCCCCGCUCCUCCACAUGCAGCUGCUGGGUGAACUUGGGCUAGUCACACUUCUCUGAAGUCUCUCGGCCCCACUCACCUCACAGAGUGUUUGUUGUGGGGGAGGAAGGGAAAAGGAGAUUGUUAGCCGCUUUGAGACUCCUUAGGGUAGUGAUAAAGCGGGAUAUCAAAUCCAAACUCCUCUGCUUCUACUUCUGCUGAGGUUAGGACUGGGGUGAGGUUAGGACUGGGGUGUUUGCGUACUUUUUGAGAAGAGAUUAGCUGUCUUGAGCAUGGAUACAUAAAUGAGCCAUCGUAUGCAUACUAAAAUGUCUUGCUCUAAAAACUCUACUGCUUAUUUUGUGGGGUUGACCCUCAUUCUAGAUCAUAAUAUUUAUUUCCGGGUCAUGUCACCACCCGUUAAGAGAUAAAUAAUGGUUCUCCAGAGAGUCCCUUAUUUUGAAUUUUUUAAAAUGUGAUUACCCAUCACUUGCUCAGCGUCUGCUGAGAUCUCAAGACGCAGAGGAGAGAAAAACACAUAUUGAUUAAAAAGAGUUGCUAAUGAUAAACAUUAUGGAAAUAGCCAAGUAGCUAUUAUGAGAUUUGUGUGUAAAUGAAUUAAGGGGGAAAGGAGAAAGCAGUGACUGAAAUCAUACGUGAUGCUGUUAGCAGCUUGAAGGCUUUCUAAGGAGGAAAAUGCAGUAGCUGGCGUAAUUAUUAGCAGUGAAUGAAGCAAGUUGUUAUUUUUAUGUCAUUGAUUUCUUACAUUCCCUGCACUGGCAGAUUAAUUUAGGCACCGCUGAGACAAUCUUUGACACACCAACACUUUGCAAAAGUAUGCUGAAGGUCUCAUCAAACAACUGUAUAUCCAAAAUUCUCCUUAAAGCAAAAGAGGUCAUAAUUAUCCAUUGAUGUUUAACACACACACACACACACACACUUUUUGUCGGGGAGGUGAAGGCAGAAGUUUGAGGGCAUAUAUGGGAAAGAUAAUAGAAAAUAAAUUGUAAGAAAAGAUCUCAUGAAAGGCAGACUGAGCAUCGAUGCUGCAAGUCAGGUUGCCAACUUUUUUAUUGACUCUUGCUCUUGUUUCUUUAAGACUAGCCUGAUUUGCACAGACAUUAGGUGACAAUGUUCAUCUGUAUGCCAUGAUAAUCUUCACCUACCAAUUUCUCAAAGUCAAGCUGCUGUUUCACAGGUCCAGAUCAAUUUCCCCUCCUGGCCAUUUGGUAAUCCUAGCAUUGGCCAGGAAAACAGAACUGCCAUGGAAUUUCAAAUGGAAUUGGAAUUUGGUGAGGUUUUAAAUCUUGUGCACUUCAGAGAGGUUUCAGAAAUAUGUCUUCUAACUUCCCAGAUAUAUUGGAGGCCAAAAAACGGGGGAGGGGGGCAGUGUCAUAUAUAGCAAGAGAACCCUUUCACCUCCCUGGGCACUUGGUCUUUCCUACAAGACUGCACUAUUUAUGUAAAUACAUCCGGAUACACUUUCUAUUAUAAGCUUUUAGUUUUCUAAAAUCUUUUAGUUUAGUGUUUAUUAAAAAUGUAUAGGAUUAUUAGGCAUUCAGGUACAAACAAUUAAAGGGGGAGGGAAACCACACAGCAAACAUGAAGCUAUUUUGAUUCCAACAAAACUUUGAGAAAGAGAGAAAACUUCUUCAAAACACUGUAUAUUCUGUGAUUUGAAUUACCAUGGGAUUUGCUUUUUUCUGCUUUCAUGGCCUUAUAAUAGCUGCAACGUGCAUCUCAACCACAUUCUGCGGGGGCUACAAGAAUUGGGCAAAUACCUAUUGUGAUCUGCUCAUUUAAAACCCUUCAAAAUAAAUGGCCUUUUCCGUACGGAUUUCUUUUAAUUGAAACCAGUAGGCCUAAGGAUAAAAUAGGGCAGAUGCUGUUCCUUCUAUGUGACCAUUUUUGUUUGCACUUCUUUCCUUUUUUUUUAAGGGGGAUGGGGAGGAGAUGGAAACCAGAAUGGGAACCCUGGCUAGUUAGCACAGGGGAACAAUUGGUUUUAGCUGUAUCCCAGGCAGGGAGACAUCCUGCUGCCCUCAUGGUGUAGACAAAGGAUUACCACUGGGAUCUAUUGGCCUCAAUCUCUGAUGGCAUGAAAUGACAAUAGAUUGCAGUGCCCCUGAGCAUGUGCAGAAUGCAUUUCCUGCUACCGUUGCUGUGCAUCUGUGGAGAAGAGGAAGGGGAUGUUUUCUAGACAGAUUGGACCCCUGACACGCACCUCUAGAUCUUUCAAUUCAAUGGAGAAUGGGCUGAUCAGCUUCAUUUCAACCCAUAUGCUGGUCAUCCUCCAGCCACUGAAGCUGUUUUAAGACCCAUCCAGCCUCAAUGGCUGCAGCACAUGGGCACUGCAGCAAAAUAAGAUAAAAAUGGAGGAUGCUCACCUCUCAAAGCAGAAUUGCAAACAUUUUAUCAGUCUAGCCUUGGCCACCGCUUUGGAUCGUAAGUCAACACAGGUUCCUUUCCGCUGAUUAAAUCAAAAGGGAUCAGACAGCAAGUUGGAAUAAUGAGCGGUGCAAUCCUGUGCACAGAUACCCCUGAGUAAGCUCCUCUGGAGAUGGUGAGACUUGCUUCCGACACACAGAGGAUUGUGCCCCAAGAUUUCCUUAUGCUUCUGGUGUGAUUCUCUUUAUUUCACCUUUUCCCCAUGAUGUGGAUUUCCCUUUCCCAGACCUACUUGCCUGUUAUAUUUCUCGUUCAAUGUAAUGUUUCCCCCGCUUCAUUUGUUUGAGCAGUAAUUUCUCACACAUACACAACAAGAAGUGAAUUUACCUUUUUUGAAAAUCAAUUUUUGUAACAAGUUAUUUAUAUGAUACUACUAAAUAAACUGUUUUUUUUUUC